UAAUUUUGUCCCAAGUCAAAACUUUUCUAAAUUUAAUCAAAUUUAUAGAAAAAUGCACCAAUAUCCACAAUAACAAAUAAGUAUACUAUCAAGACAUAUUUCAUGAUGUAUUUAAUGAAACUAAUUUGAUAUUGUGGAUGUUGAUGCAUUUUUCUAUAAGCUCGGGCAAGUUAAAGAAGUUUGACUUAGGAGAAAACUAA
Molecule: microRNA precursor, 200 nt
Organism: Oryza sativa Japonica Group (Japanese rice)
Lineage: Eukaryota; Viridiplantae; Streptophyta; Magnoliopsida; Poales; Poaceae
Rfam family: MIR1435 microRNA precursor family
Source: Rfam